Moellerella wisconsensis ATCC 35017 is the source of this 124-nucleotide regulatory RNA element. It matches the Rfam family "Phenylalanine leader peptide". Lineage: Bacteria; Pseudomonadati; Pseudomonadota; Gammaproteobacteria; Enterobacterales; Morganellaceae. The record is from Rfam.
AACCCCAUGAAAACAUUGAUUUUUCGCUUUUUCUUUUACUUUAGUGCCUGAUAUACGGGGCUUAUCUGCGUAAGAGAAAAAACGAAAAGUUACGCUAAAGCCUCCUGAUGGAGGCUUUUUUGUU